Long non-coding RNA from Panicum virgatum (switchgrass), 1910 nucleotides. RefSeq lists it as uncharacterized. Lineage: Eukaryota; Viridiplantae; Streptophyta; Magnoliopsida; Poales; Poaceae. The transcript is spliced from 3 exons. The record is from RefSeq and is a predicted model, not a curated record.
GCGAACCAUGGGGCCCUCCCCGUCUCCCACGUGGAUUCCCUUCCCGACCGCCGUCUACCGCGCUGCUGCUCCGCGCCGUUCCCGUCCGCCGCCGAUCCGCGCCGUCCCCGGCGCCCUCCCCCUCUCCGCACCCCUGCUCCGUCCCCGGCGCCGCAGAUCCGCGCCGCCCUGCCGCGGUGAUGCCGCCGCCGUCUCCCCAUCGCACGCGCCCUAGAUCCACGACUGCUCUCGCGAGAUCAGCCGUCAAUGAGGAAGAGGAGCCAUGGCGCCUGGUGUACCAUCCUCUCCGAUCCCUUCUUCUACGGAGACGACAUUGACGAGCUUCGCGGGCGCAUCGAUCUGGCCUCUCCGACGCCGACACCGACGCCCCCUCCAACGCCGCGGCCUGCCCUUUGAUCGGCCGUGACACGCCAUAGCUGCCCCCGGAGAUCACGCCGAUUCGAUCAGUGGUAGCCUUGCCUAUCGAUUCUCAGCCGCCACUGGCAUCCCCGGUGGGUCGAGGAAGCCUCCAGCCUCCCCGGCGGGCACGAGCGCUGGCCCUCGCGCGAAACCUCCCCCACUCCAUCUUCCCCGGUGCGCGGGCUCCACCGGCCUUCCCGGCGCACGCGGGCGCCGUACCUGCAGCUGCUCGCCUUUGAUUCGCGGCCGCCACUGGCCUCCCCCAGCGGGUCGGGGAUGCCAUCGGCCUUUCCCUCGCUCGGCUAGCUCUACUUCGAUGGCGACGAGGCUUCGGCAGAUGGUUCGCGAUAAGGAUCGAUGGACGGGGCUGUGUUGUCGUAGGCAAGGCAAUGGCGGUGGUGAUUUGGUAGGAUCGAUGGACGGGGCUGUGUUGUCGUAGGCAAGGCAAUGGCGGUGGUGAUUUGGUCUGGCCGACAUCUAUGCUACGGAUGUUCCAUUGUAACUCACAGGACAGAUCUGCCUACCAAUCAAGCGAUAACAACAGAAUCCAGGAACAUCUUGCUGAGGUACUUCUAUCUCUGAGAGGGUAAGCUGUUUCAUCAAGGCUAUAUAGCUCACAUGACUAUGGAAUCUAACCAACUACACUUAAAUCCUGUCCUGAACUCUACUGAGUCAAAGAGAGCAGCUCCAGACAAUCUCGCUCCGGAGAACAACAACAAACAGCCUAGGGGUCCUGUCGCCGAUGUUGGAAGCCAGUCAAACAAAAAGAGCUGAACCGCAGCUGGUGGUUGUCCUCCUCGGCAUCCCUCAGUGUCAGACGUGUUUGGCAUGCCAGUUGAAGCCAUGCAUGAACACAAGUACCGAAGUGCAGCCAGGAGAAUAUGAAGAUUUUGAUUGAAACGUACUGAUAAAAUUGUCUCUCAGGCUAUGAGCUCCUUGGAUCUAUUUUCUAAUGGUGGAACUGUAAAGUUUUUUAAAGCAGAAGAUUGCCAACCAUCAAUUUUGCUAUCUCAUCAUGGACGCUAUUUUUAUGGACCAAAGUGACUGGAUGUAGUUCCAACUUUCUUUUAACCUAGUUGAGCUGUAGAAGAGUUGAAAUAGUUUGUUGACUUCAGUUGAUGUUCUUGGAUGACUCGCACUUUACUUCUUUUUGGAAGAUACUAUUAUGUUCACAAGUUAUGAUACAAUACUUGGUUGAUUGCAUGAUAACUUUAGCCCAUUUUUGCUGUAGGUGCGGUGAGGAUGAUUCAAGCUGUUACUCCUCACAUGAUGGAAACAUUGGAAGGAACCAAUAGUGAAAUGCAACUUUCCAACCGAAGCAAGAGUCUUCAUCCACUUAAUCCUCGCUUAUGCCACUUAGUGGUACAGGUUUCUAUGUAUUUAUAUUACAAAUAGUUGUGCAUAAUUGUACACCUCUGUUGUAACGCUAAUGCUAUGGUUACUAUAUUCAUGGCAAAAAUGAUUACUUAUCUUGAGAAUAAGAAAAUAAAGCGCGCCAAGGCGCGCGCAAA